This 402-nucleotide ribosomal RNA is filed under the name Triticum aestivum (bread wheat). RNAcentral's name for it is "partial small subunit ribosomal RNA". Lineage: Eukaryota; Viridiplantae; Streptophyta; Magnoliopsida; Poales; Poaceae. The record is from RNAcentral.
AUGCUUCUACUUUCUGUAUGGAGCUGGGAGCGUCUGCCUGUUGGACGCCCGAAGAGCGUCAGGUUUAAUCCUUGGUAUGAAGAUGAACAUGACGAAUUACGGUGCCCCACUUGGGCUUACAAGUGGGAUGUGGUUUCCGAGAUGACGAACGAUGUCAAUCUCAUGUACCAGAAGUACGUUGCCGAGUUGGACACGAUUACGCCUGAGCAGGUAACGAGGUCAUUACUUCAGUCAUUUCUCAUGUUUGGCAAAAAAAGUCACCAAUUUUGCAUUGUUGCCCUAUUUCAUAGGUGGAAUGGCAGCCAUAUGGCGCCGAUGACAGACUUGGGUACACCCCGGAGUUUAGAAUCAACCCGAUGUGCUUCCGGGAUAGGGAUCUCUGGCUUAUGCGGUGCCCACUGA